RNAcentral lists this ribosomal RNA (386 nucleotides) under uncultured bacterium. Its description in RNAcentral is "bacterial SSU rRNA". It matches the Rfam family "Bacterial small subunit ribosomal RNA", at positions 28 to 415 of the family's 1533-position model. The record is from RNAcentral.
GAUGAACGCUAGCGGCGUGCCUAACACAUGCAAGUCGAACGUGAGAGGGUACUUGUAUCCUUGAAAGUGGCGGACGGGUGAGUAAGACGUAGGUGACCUGCCUUGAAGUGGGGGAUAACCAUUGGAAACGAUGGCUAAUACCGCAUAAGCUGGUGACGAUGGGAAUCGUUAACAGGAAAGCUUUAGUGCUUUGAGAGGGGCCUACGGCCGAUUAGCUAGUUGGUGAGGUAAAGGCUCACCAAGGCGAUGAUCGGUAGCUGGUCUGAGAGGACGAUCAGCCACACGGGAACUGAGACACGGUCCCGACUCCUACGGGGGGCAGCAGUGAGGAAUAUUCGGCAAUGGGGCGAACCCUGACCGAGCAACGCCGCGUGGAGGAUGACGGU